GUAACUUAUGUCAACAUUCUGAGCAGAAAUACUGCCAUGCCUUUUCAAUUGGAUAGUGUAAAACAUCAAAAUGUAUACAAAAAAAAGAAUAACAUAUUAGUGAUGAAAUUUUAUAUUCUAUAAAUUCUUACCUUUUGGUUUAUGUGUUGUAUAUUUCAGCAACCAGCAAGGGUAGUGUAAAGUAUUUAACCUUAGUUAUGUAUUAAAUCUUAACUUUCUAGAUAAGUUGUAGUUGGUAGAUUGAAAGAUUCCGCACCAUACAGACAAAAAUCAGAAACUAAAAAUAGUAAUAUAAGUAGCACGCCGAUAUGUUUUCAACACGCUCCAACAAUGUAUCAUACUCAUUUGAAUUAUUCAAUAACCAUGAAAAGUGUCACCUGUUGAACAAAAGGCAGUCCAUUGCAUGAAACCAAAGGAGAGGCCCGGGGCCAGAACUACUAUUGGUAAUGGACCUCAUUUCAACUAGUCAAUGGAAUGUCUAAUCCAUCUUAUCCAUUCUAGCAGCAGCUAAAAGGUGACGCCAGACAUCCAAAGGAGUCCUCUCAUCAAGCAUGCCUAUAGGCAAGCAUCAUGAAGGCUUUGAAAUGCGUUUGAUCUUGGGUUAUCAACAGAUGAGGUCACGGAAAAAGUAGUUUGUCACAUCAGCACUGCACCUUGCAGUAUGUGGUCGCGGAACUCCAGAUAAACAAUAAUUGUAUCCACUUAGCAUAUUUGACAUAUCAACCUCGAACUCAUGAACCAGCAGUACUAAAUCCUUUGCGGCACAAAUGCUGUGGGGCUUGUCGGUUUGAAUGAUAGUUGCCUAACGAAGCACAUGGUAGGCUGCAAGCGUGCAGGUAGUCAAAUUAAGAUAAAGGCAUACUGCACUAAAAUCAAGGAUCAACUGGUAACUAACCAAAAUCAACUAGUAUUUGCUAGGGGUAAUUUUACCAUCCUUGCAAAAGAUACCGUAAGGCACCAUAUUUUUUAGUGUAAAAUUUAGUACCUCGAGUUACUUUCGCAAGGACAGUAAAACUUCUCGUUUGCUAGACGUAACGGGAUUUCGGCUAGCCAGAGCUCAAUUCCUCCCCGCAUAUGAUAGUUUCACGUGCAAUCUGUACCCCCACAAUUUCAACCAACGUGUGCAGAGUACAAUGAACCUUCUACAGUUCGACUACCUAUUAUCCCCUUAUCGCGAAGCACGCGGAAAGCGAAUCUGUCCGGUCCCUGCUAUCCAGACAAAGCGCGCCAUGCGACCCUAAGGCAUACGAUGAUGCUGAAAGCCGGACAUACCGGGACCGCGGCGCCUCCAGCAAUCAGCGAUGGCCCCCACCGCGAUCACCGCGUGACGGUGGUGCGGCGCUGUGGAGGGAGGAGACGUGGGGACUGGUGGUGGUGGUGGGGGGGGGGGAUACUCACAUGGUGCUAACUCGGCUGGACGCCGCCGCGGGGAGCGGCGCGGCGGCGAGCCGGCCUCUCUCGCGCCGCGCCCAUUUCGAAAUGGAGAGGGGAGGGGAGCGGAGCGGAGGUGAGACGCCGCAUGGUGACGCCGAUACCGUCGGCGACGGGGGAGGAGGAGGAGGAGGAGGCCUUCGGCUUGGGCUCUCUGCCGUUAUGGGCCGCUCCUGGGUCAGAUGUUAAUUGGGCUCAGAUCGGUCGAGUUCGGAAUAAGUUCAUUGGAGUUUGAAAGUCAUCCCAAAACCACAAUAUUCAAGU
This 1695-nucleotide long non-coding RNA is filed under the name Oryza sativa (Asian cultivated rice). Its description in RNAcentral is "long non-coding RNA (OSAT_LNC000989)". Lineage: Eukaryota; Viridiplantae; Streptophyta; Magnoliopsida; Poales; Poaceae. The record is from RNAcentral.